CAAAUCUUUCCGUAAAUGUUCUUUUCUCUUGCGCCCUCGACUGAGAAGGACGUUUUCGUAUAUUACACCACGGAAGUUGCCAAGUUGUUGUUAUAAAAGUUUAUCAAAAUGAUCAAUAAUCUUACUAAAUUAGCUAGAGCAACGUUAAAACCCAAGCGAUAGCUAGUUGCGUGUGUAUUUGUAAUGAAAUUUUACUGAAAAAUAUGAGCUCCAAGCUCCGUCUACCAUGUGGUAGUGUGGUUCCCAACACCCGGCUGGCGGCUUGUGUCACAUCCGGCGGGUAAAGGCGUCAUCUGCGGCAUGAAUCCAGCGCACUGCCAAAAGGUACAUCAUGAAUCGGCAUGGAAAUAUACAGGCCUCCGUAGGCGAUUAUUCCAAGGAUAAGAGAAUGGCGUUCGAGUUUUCUAAUACACGAGGCCUUACGUUCGAUACUAGGAGGGACGCUACCUAAACAGAUUAAUUUCUGGUAUUAACGUUUUUCCAAUCGGAUUCGAUGUCAACCAGGUACAUCACAUCGAGCAUGGAGAUGGGUCAGGCACCACCAGCAGAUGAUUACAAUUCGCUAAGUAUAAUUGAUGAAAAAGAAAUCACAACGCGAUGCCCUGCGAGAAGUUUUUCGUUGCAACAGCCAUUUUUAAUAGUUCGAAAAAGGAGGGGAGGGGACAGCUUAUUUCCACAGCGUUGCUUGGUUUGGCACUGUGUCGACGAUCCUUCACUGAACAGCUGUAUUAAAAUAAUGGAGGUCGUCCCGUGAUCAUCGUCUUCUUACCAUCAUUAAUCGCGGAUAUUCUGCCCUUCUGCGACUGAGAGGACGCUAACUUUUUAUGGAAGAAAAUCAUCAGCUCUCAAUAUGGCUUCCGUUUAUGAAAGGUAUCUAAAAAUUCGUAUUAUUUAUCCUAGAAGCAUAGAAACCCUAGUGCGAGCGGUCGGCAACCUUGCGGUCUCUUUCGUCCAUCGUCCUUUUUAAGGAGUUAAGUUUUCCAAUUGAAAAUAAAUACACUGCCAAUGUAUUAAAAACAUUGAAACAGUUAACGAUAUUGGUUAAAAUGUCGAAUCUGACGAGGUUUAUAUUGUGCAAAAGAGGUAAAUUAUCACAAACUCCUUGAUCAGCAGGCUUCUGUUAAAUAUUCAUACAACAGAAAAGAUCAAGAGAGUGGUCUACGGUAGUUCAGUAUUUACAAAAGCGAAUUACAUUCCACUGUUUUUCAUCAAUAGAUGGAAGAUAGGAAAAUAAUGGAUCACAUUUACUUUUGCUAUAAUUUAUGGUACGAUUCUUGUGGAUCUUCUCAGUUACUUGUGUAGUAGUGUUUUCACUCUUUGAACCGUAUCGGUUGCCGUUCACUGUACUAGGACAGCUGUUCUAUGAUAACAGUAAUGAAAAAAAGUCGUUGAUGAAUUGUGCUCUUAUUGAUCCUGAGCUUAAAUGACGGAUUUCAUAGUCGGUUUCUUUCUCCUUGCCGUCUAUGAAAAAUUGAACCCUGAAACAUCUACCAUUUUUCCAUAUUUUACCUUGCGCAUGACAUUUCUGUAAUACUAAGCAAACAAUAUUUUUUUUUUGUAUUUUCUUUUCCAUCAAGCGUUCUGACAUCAUUGAGAUAUGAGUGGGGACGUCAUCAACGCUCUCGAUCGACGGCCAGCGUGUGAUAUGCUUCGGUGAUCCUCUUUUAUAUUGUGAUAACUCUCAUUGCAGAAAUAAAAAAAGCUACGUGUUAUAAACAAUGAAAA
Molecule: long non-coding RNA, 1725 nt
Organism: Anopheles gambiae (African malaria mosquito)
Lineage: Eukaryota; Metazoa; Arthropoda; Insecta; Diptera; Culicidae
Exons: 8
Source: RefSeq, a predicted model, not a curated record